RNAcentral lists this ribosomal RNA (356 nucleotides) under uncultured bacterium. RNAcentral describes it as "bacterial SSU rRNA". It matches the Rfam family "Bacterial small subunit ribosomal RNA", at positions 8 to 353 of the family's 1533-position model. The record is from RNAcentral.
AGAGUUUGAUCCUGGCUCAGGAUAAACGCUAGCGGCAGGCCUAACACAUGCAAGUCGAGGGGCAUCGGAUAGAGUACUUCGGUACUCUUGCCGGCGACCGGCGGACGGGUGCGUAACGCGUAUGCAACCUACCUUCAACAGGGGGAUAAUCCGAAGAAAUUUGGUCUAAUACCCCAUAAUAUUCCGACAGGCAUCUGUUGGAGUUAGAAAGCUUCGGUGGUUGGAGAUGGGCAUGCGUUGUAUUAGCUAGAUGGUGAGGUAACGGCUCACCAUGGCGAUGAUACAGUAGGGGGACUGAGUACGGUUUCCCCCACACUGGUACUGAGACACGGACCAGACUCCUACGGGAGGGAGCA